Molecule: small RNA, 31 nt
Filed under: Bombyx mori (domestic silkworm)
Lineage: Eukaryota; Metazoa; Arthropoda; Insecta; Lepidoptera; Bombycidae
Description: ovarian small RNA-27924
Source: RNAcentral
UCCUGCCAGGCAUAGCCCCGAAAGGUGCUAA